RNAcentral lists this non-coding RNA (24 nucleotides) under Arabidopsis thaliana (thale cress). The record is from RNAcentral. Lineage: Eukaryota; Viridiplantae; Streptophyta; Magnoliopsida; Brassicales; Brassicaceae.
AUAGGGGAUGCUCUUCUCAGAGAC